CAGGCCUAACACAUGCAAGUCGAGCGGAAACGAGUUAUCUGAACCUUCGGGGAACGAUAACGGCGUCGAGCGGCGGACGGGUGAGUAAUGCCUGGGAAAUUGCCCUGAUGUGGGGGAUAACCAUUGGAAACGAUGGCUAAUACCGCAUAAUAGCUUCGGCUCAAAGAGGGGGACCUUCGGGCCUCUCGCGUCAGGAUAUGCCCAGGUGGGAUUAGCUAGUUGGUGAGGUAAGGGCUCACCAAGGCGACGAUCCCUAGCUGGUCUGAGAGGAUGAUCAGCCACACUGGAACUGAGACACGGUCCAGACUCCUACGGGAGGCAGCAGUGGGGAAUAUUGCACAAUGGGCGCAAGCCUGAUGCAGCCAUGCCGCGUGUAUGAAGAAGGCCUUCGGGUUGUAAAGUACUUUCAGCAGUGAGGAAGGCGGGUGCUGUUAAUAGCGCAAUCGCUUUGACGUUAGCUGCAGAAGAAGCACCGGCUAACUCCGUGCCAGCAGCCGCGGUAAUACGGAGGUGUGCGAGCGAUUAAUCGGA
Molecule: ribosomal RNA, 531 nt
Filed under: Vibrio sp. OT443
Lineage: Bacteria; Pseudomonadati; Pseudomonadota; Gammaproteobacteria; Vibrionales; Vibrionaceae
Description: bacterial SSU rRNA
Rfam family: Bacterial small subunit ribosomal RNA
Source: RNAcentral